UCCGAAUAAUUUAUUGAAUGAACUAAUUGCCAUGCAAAGGCAUCAAAAUAUGCAAUUAGACCAAGAAAAACAGAUAUUGAGUUUAGACUACAUAUGGUCAGUAAACUUCAAAACAACGAUAAUGAUAUGGGUCAACAAAGAAAAUUAUAAUCUAGACCACGUAUGGUCAAAACGAAAUUCACAUAAAAAAACAGGAACAUAAUUUCCUCAUAUCUUCUCCUUCUUGACAACUUUCAAAAGCUUAUUUAUCCUUCUUGACAGCUUUGAAUACCUUUUGUGGGUAAUCAUCAACUACAAUUGAAAAGGACAAAAACUCAGUAUCAGUUUACAGAAAAAAUUCAGAUCUAACAUGUCAAUUGAAUAUAAAGUGGGAAAAAAGACUUUAGAUAUGAGAAGGUUGAUUGAUACAAAUUUGCAUACAAAAAUUUCGAUUGAUAUGAAAAGUUUGUUUGAAAAAAUACAUUUUGUUGUCAAUUAAACAACUGCAAUUGAAAAAGCCAAAAACUCAGUAUUAUUUAACGAAAAAAAUUCAGAUCUAACAGUUCCAUUGAAUAGAUAGUGGGAAAACCGGAAAAAAUUCCGAUCUAACAUGUCAAUUCAAUAGAAAGUGCGAAAAAAAUACCUUUUGUUGUCAAUUCAACAACUGCAGUUGAAAAGGCCAAAAACUCAGUAUUAGUUAACGGAGAAAAUUCAGAUCUAACAGUUCAAUUGAAUGGAUAGUGGGAAAAUCGGAAAAAGAUUCAGAUCUAACAGGUAAAAUGAAUAGAAAGUGCGAAAAAAUACAUUUUGAUAUGAGAAGGUUGAAACUAAAAACUUGCAGAAUAAGGAUGACAAAAACA
This 839-nucleotide long non-coding RNA is filed under the name Lotus japonicus. RNAcentral describes it as "long non-coding RNA (LJAP_LNC000780)". Lineage: Eukaryota; Viridiplantae; Streptophyta; Magnoliopsida; Fabales; Fabaceae. The record is from RNAcentral.